This 785-nucleotide long non-coding RNA is filed under the name Marmota monax (woodchuck). Lineage: Eukaryota; Metazoa; Chordata; Mammalia; Rodentia; Sciuridae. The record is from RNAcentral.
CUUACUCUAACUCUUGCCCUAGACUUAUUGCUAGUACUAACUCUAUCUGUAACCAUAACCCUCACACUAGCUCUAACCUAACCUCUAAAUCUAGCCCAAGUCCUAACCCUGGAUCUAACCAUAACUCUCUAUAUAACCCUAAACCUAAGCCUGAACCUCACCCUACCACUAGCCCUAACACUAUUACUAAUCCUAAAACUAGUUCUAAACUUAGCUGUAGCUCUAAAACAAAACUGAGCCCUAGCCCUAACCCUAACACUAACCUAACUGUAACUUCAGACCUGACAUUAGAUCUAGCCCAAAUUCUUGCCCUAACCCUAACAAAAAACCUAACCCUACACCUACCCAUAACUCUAGCAUUAUUUCUAGUGUUAUCCCUUACCCUAAAACUAACACUGACCUUGACUCUGACCCUAACACUAACCCUAUUUCAAAUCAUCACUCUAAUCAUAACCUAACCAUAACACUAGACCUAGCCCUAAACCUAACCCUAAAACUAGCCCAAAUCGUAACCCAAGUUCUUAUAUUAGCCAUAGCCCUACCCUAACCCUAACCUAAUUUAAAAUGUAGUCCUAACCCUAACCCUAACACCAGCUUUAAACCUAACCUAAAUCUAAACCUAAUCCUAACACUAGCCUUAAUCCUAACUAUAACCCUAGCCCUAAAUCUAGCUCUAAUCAUAUCUAUUACCUUAAACUUAAACCUAACUCUAAUACUAAUCCUAGGAUAACCCUAACUGUAAUCAUAACCCUAACCCUAUUCAUUACUAUAAACUUAACCUGAAC